This 519-nucleotide ribosomal RNA is filed under the name uncultured eukaryote. Its description in RNAcentral is "partial 18S ribosomal RNA". It matches the Rfam family "Eukaryotic small subunit ribosomal RNA", at positions 1156 to 1724 of the family's 1831-position model. The record is from RNAcentral.
ACGGAGGGGCACCACCAGGAGUGGAGCCUGCGGUUUAUUUUCUCUCAACACGGAAAAUCUAACCCCGCCAAGACUGGGAGGUGACAGAUUAGUACUCUUUCUUCUUUCUUUGGGGGGGGGGGCGUGGCCGGCUUUAUUUGUGGAGAGAGUUUUGCGUGUUAAUCCCAAAACAAAAAAAACUCUCUCCUAAUUAAAAAAAUUGUUGGGUAAAAAAACCGGGAAGAACACCUUAAAAAAGGAGGGGGUUAAUCAGCACAAAAAAAAGAAAUAAUAAGUCUUGUAUGCCGCCAUAUGAUGGGGGGGGACCCAGGGGUAACUGAAGAAGCAAUGAGGGUUUUUUAAAUAACAGUCAGGAAGAGGACCAAAAAACGUUCUUCUUUGUGGGGGGGGGGGUUAUUUUUCCUUGGGGAGAAAGUCCUUUAACGCGAGCAAUAAUUGUCUCAUUAAUCAUGCCCUUUUUACACCACCGGCCGCCACUCAAAUGAAUGUAUUGUAGUGGGAUCUACUGAACUACACAAU